CGCUGGCGGCGUGCUUAACACAUGCAAGUCGAGCGGAGACACAGGACGGAAAGCUUCGGCCGGAAGACCUGUGUUUUAGCGGCGGACGGGUGAGUAACGCGUGAGCAACCUGUCCUUCACAGGGGGAUAAGAUACCGAAAGGUGUUCUAAUACCGCAUAAGACCACGGCAUCACAUGAAGCAGGGGUCAAAGGAGCAAUCCGGUGAAGGGUGGGCUCGCGUCCGAUUAGAUAGUUGGUGAGGUAACGGCCCACCAAGUCGACGAUCGGUAGCCGACCUGAGAGGGUGAUCGGCCACAUUGGGACUGAGACACGGCCCAGACUCCUACGGGAGGCAGCAGUGGGGAAUAUUGGGCAAUGGGGGAAACCCUGACCCAGCAACGCCGCGUGGAGGAAGAAGGUCUUCGGAUCGUAAACUCCUGUCCUUCGAGACGAGUUCGAGACGGUAUCGGAGGAGGAAGCCCCGGCUAACUACGUGCCAGCAGCCGCGGUAAUACGUAGGGGGCAAGCGUUGUCCGGAAUGAUUGGGCGUAAAGGGCGCGUACGCGGGGCUUCAAGUCUGAAGUGA
This 566-nucleotide ribosomal RNA is filed under the name uncultured rumen bacterium. Its description in RNAcentral is "bacterial SSU rRNA". It matches the Rfam family "Bacterial small subunit ribosomal RNA", at positions 34 to 597 of the family's 1533-position model. The record is from RNAcentral.